This 2607-nucleotide long non-coding RNA is filed under the name Salmo salar (Atlantic salmon). Its description in RNAcentral is "lncRNA (ENSSSAG00000092943.1)". Lineage: Eukaryota; Metazoa; Chordata; Actinopteri; Salmoniformes; Salmonidae. The record is from RNAcentral.
UUUAGUUCAAGUUCCGAGGCUUGCUUUGAUAGAACCAGUGACGUUGCAGAUCUACUUUUGAACCUCUUUCUACAGGCAACUUUUUCUUCAUUAUUCUCAUUAAGGGCUAUCGCCAUGCGUCAGACAGGCAGGCAGAUGGGGGAGAUAACUAGUAUAAGACAGGGCUCAAUUCGGUUUUCAAUUCAUGAAGUGAGUGGAAAUUCAAUGAGUGAAUUCCAAAAUCCUAGAAAGCGAUGGGCAGUAGAGGACAAGGGUACACUGUUGCAUUCUGUCCUCAAGGGCUGCAGUCUUGCUGGGGGUUUUUCUGUUGCCUUCUAACCAAAAAUGGAUUUCUACCUGUGAAAUCAGGUGUUUGCAAUCCCCAGCCGAUUGGUAACAUUCAUUGAUCAAGUAAAUGCCGGGGAGAAAUGAAAACCAGCAGGAAUGCGGACUUCGAAGCACUGGGUUGUGCACCCCUGGUUUUAGGUUCACAGUCAACUAAGCCAUUCACUCAUGAGUGUUUGUCGGGAUCAUUUUGUUCAACAAAGACCGUGUGUGAAUACAGCUGUGGUAGGAUACAUGACCAACACUAUCAUUAGAAGGUUCAUUUUUUUACUUUUUCUUUCUCUGGAUCAACAGUGGAUCACACAAGCUUCCAGCUCCGAAUGAGGGAAUCUCUCAAGCCCCAAGUUCCCUACUUCACUGUUUGAUGUGUUAUCAUCAGGGGUGUGAUCGUGGAUCAGUUUACCCUCCCUCAAUGCUGACCUUAAAGGCCCAGUGCAGUCAAAUGUGAUUUUCCUGUGUUUUGUAUAGAUUUCCACACUUGAGGUUGGAAUAAUACUGUGAAAUUGUGAAAAUGGUGAUAAUGCUAUUUUAGUGUAAGAGCUGUUUGAAAAGACCGCCUGAAAUUUCUGCCUGUUUUGGUGGGAUGUAGUUUUGGUUUGUUUGUUUGAUAUCACCAUGCGGUAAGUUAGUUAAUAAACCAAUAAAAAAAGUUUCAAACCUCUCUGCCAAUAACAGCUAGUUUUCAGUUUUCCCCUCGCCACUCACCACUUCGACAGUCCUAGCAAAAUUCAUGCUUGAUAAAUUACUCUUACAAAGAAGCUAUUUUUGUUUGUUUUCACUCAAAAUGGUCAAAAAUAAUCAAAGGUACUUAAUUGUUACCCAGAAAUUACUUGAUUUUGAGGUAAAAAUGUCUGCAUUGGGCCUUUAUCUAUUAGGGGGGAUGCAAAACUGACCUUAGAUCAGUGUUAAGGGGAACUUUCCUUCUACUGUCCUACUGCUAGUUUUACCAUCCGGGGGUGUGCUUUGUGCUUGUUGAGGAGAUUUUGCACAUUGUCAUUUGACACUCCUACAGUAGAGGCAGGGUGUUAAAGCAGGUGUUAAAAUGCUAUUCCAAGUUAAAGCAUAGCUGCGCAACACACAGCUCUAGCACACCUGUGCAGGAUUUUGUUCCAUACCAGCACUAACACCCCAGUCAACUGAUUGAGAACUAAUCAUGGUUUUGGAUUUAGACCGCAACUAGUUGAACCAAGUGUGUUAGUGUUGUACUGGAACUAAAGCCUGCACACUGCAGCCAGUAUUAGAGGAUGUUAUCCAAGUAUGACAUGCAGUAUUUAAUUCAGUGUUGACCUGCCCACAAACAAUGUGUUGAAUACAACUCGCAUACCAAACAGUCAAGCACUUGGGCUCCUGUACUGCCUCCACAAUGAAGUGUGAAAACAGCCCUAACUACAAUCAAUAGACUUGGUGAUUAAUCAGUCAUAUUUAUAGGAAACUCUUGUUUACCACUUUCUGUGGGUUAAUUGUUUGGCACUCCUGAAGUGUCUGCACAUUAGGGCCCAGAGUUUUUCCUAGGCUGUAACUAGGACCCAGAGUUUUACCUGGUCAGAUUAACAUGGACAUGGUGCAUAUUGAGAACUUAGCUUGACUUAUUUCCUUUUAAAUCUUUUUUGUAAGAUUAAAAAAACAUUACCGGAACACUAUUGUAUUUAGGACCACUUGAUUUAUUUUUUAAUCUAAGGAAACCUGAGGGUUAAAUGUUUUAGUUGGUGUAUAAAAUAUACAAUGCUGUUUUUGUUUCUUUAUUUUGUAUGUAAACCAAAUGUAAAUUAUGUACUAUACUGUGUGCCAACCCAACUCUCUCUAGAGCCAGGCUCUCUCUCUCUCUUAAGUGCCAACGCUGACAUCAUCAUCAGGGAACAGCCAUCUUGGAUGGUCCCAUUUUUAAGAACACCAGAGACCUAAACACAUGGCGACUACGCCACCCCUAACAAAAACUAUAAGUACACAUUUUUUUAAAUUGUGUAAUUAUAUAAUUGCAUGUAUUUAGUGUUGGGAGGAGGUGAGGGCUCGGGAAAAUGUAUUGGCUGAUGCAGAGACCUUGAUGAAAGGGUGAAAUCGGUUGGUUAUUAUUGAUUGAUCAGUUGGUUAUGUAUUAUUGAUUUGCAUUACUCUUGCCAUAUUUUUAUUUUUAGUGUGUUUUCAUGCAUUUGUUUCAACCACUGUUGCCUGAUCCUCAUUCAAACAUGAACAUGAUUUAUUACGAUCAUCGCCGCCUUCUAAGAGAGAACAUAAUGACAAGGUAUCUGUUUUAAAUUGAAAUAAAUUUGUUCGUAUACUUGCUGA